This 253-nucleotide unclassified non-coding RNA is filed under the name uncultured Flavobacteriaceae bacterium. RNAcentral describes it as "contains 16S-23S intergenic spacer region". It matches the Rfam family "Bacterial small subunit ribosomal RNA", at positions 524 to 776 of the family's 1533-position model. The record is from RNAcentral. Lineage: Bacteria; Pseudomonadati; Bacteroidota; Flavobacteriia; Flavobacteriales; Flavobacteriaceae.
CACGAACCGUCCAAACGUUAUUCGGUAUCAUUGGGUUUAAAGGGUCCGUAGGCGGGUUAAUAAGUCAGUGGUGAAAGUCUGCAGCUCAACUGUAGAAUUGCCAUUGAUACUGUUAACCUUGAGUAAUUAUGAAGUGGUUAGAAUAUGUAGUGUAGCGGUGAAAUGCAUAGAUAUUACAUAGAAUACCGAUUGCGAAGGCAGAUCACUAAUAAAAUACUGACGCUGAUGGACGAAAGCGUAGGUAGCGAACAGG